Molecule: ribosomal RNA, 405 nt
Filed under: uncultured prokaryote
Description: bacterial SSU rRNA
Rfam family: Bacterial small subunit ribosomal RNA
Source: RNAcentral
UGAAGAAUAUUGGGCAAUGGGCGAAAGCCUGACCCAGCAACGCCGCGUGAGGGAAGAAGGUUCUCGGAUUGUAAACCUCUGUCCCAUGGGAAGAAACAAAUGACGGUACCAUGGGAGGAAGCCCCGGCUAACUACGUGCCAGCAGCCGCGGUAAUACGUAGGGGGCAAGCGUUGUCCGGAAUUAUUGGGCGUAAAGGGUGCGUAGGCGGCCUUUCAAGUUGGAUGUGAAAUCCCCGGGCUUAACAUGGGAAUUGCAUUCAAAACUGGAGGGCUUGAGUGUGGAAGAGGUAAGUGGAAUUCCCAGGGUAGCGGUGAAAUGCGUAGAUAUUGGGAGGAACACCAGUGGCGAAGGCGACUUAAUGGGCCACAACUGACGCUGAGGCACGAAAGCGUGGGGAGCAAACA